CGGAGCUACGGAACUCAAAAUUAAGAUCCGUAAAUUUUCCCUGAAACAAGACUCAUAUACCUUCUUACCAUAAAAUUUCAGAAUUUUUGGUUCAGCUAAUUAGUACAAUUUGUUCUCUAAAGUUUCCCCUAUUUCACUCCUUGACAUUUUUUACCUCUCUUCACUAAAAGUCACUUAUCUCUUAGUACAGAAUUCAAAU
RNAcentral lists this long non-coding RNA (199 nucleotides) under Gossypium barbadense (sea-island cotton). Its description in RNAcentral is "long non-coding RNA (GBAR_LNC019107)". Lineage: Eukaryota; Viridiplantae; Streptophyta; Magnoliopsida; Malvales; Malvaceae. The record is from RNAcentral.